This 226-nucleotide unclassified non-coding RNA is filed under the name Hevea brasiliensis (rubber tree). The record is from RNAcentral. Lineage: Eukaryota; Viridiplantae; Streptophyta; Magnoliopsida; Malpighiales; Euphorbiaceae.
AGAAAAAUAGAGAAAGGUAAGGGAAAUAAAAGGAUAAGAAAUAUAAAAUGAAAUAGAACUUAGAGAGAAAAGAAUAAAGAGAAUUAGAGGAAGAACUAACUGAAAUCUUGAUAUUUCUUGGAUGGUCUUUUGUUAUAGCCUCUUCAAUUAUUUAUACAACCUCUCUUGCCUAAUUAAUUGUUCCCACCAACUAUAACAGCUGAUAUGGUGAUUAUUGAAUGGACUA